AUGCAGGUGCCAGGACUUUGGUCUGAUGUACCUUGCUUGAGAUGUCUGUGGGGUGUCUGAGGGACAGAGACUCCAGCAGGGUCAGGGGUGCUGGAGUUAGGGGCUCAGUGUGCAGGGAAAUGUGCACAUGGGUGUUGUGGCAUAUGCAUGGCACAUAGAGCCCUGGCUUGCAUGUGAUCAAAUAGGGGUGGGUGUCUAUGGAGAAAAGGAGUAGGUCCCAGCCAUGCUGUGAGCACUCCAGCAUUAGAUGCUGGGUGAGGGAGGACGUGUGAGCAAAGCAGGGGUGGGAGAAGGAGGAAGCCCAGAAGAAGUUAAAUCAAGGAGGCAGUAGCAAGGGCCUCAGUGGGUGACAGAAAAUCAAUAAGCUGUCAAAGAAAAGUCAGAUAAAUUAUACUGCAUCAAAGGAAGUCAUUUGUGCAUAGAAAAAACAACUCAGUGUCAAAAAACAAAUGACAAACUGAGAAACUCUCCAGAGGCAAAGGGCUAAUUAACCUAAGAAAAUAGCUCCAAUGAAUCAACAAGAAAGACCAACGACCUGACAAACAUGGGCAAAGGAUGUGAACAGGAAAGGAAAUGUAACUAAUGUUUAAAUCUCAUAAAAUAUGCUUAAUCCCCUCCUAAUAAGAAAACUGCACAUCAGAGCUGUACUCAUCUACCAUUUCCAUACCCUUACUGCAGGGACCCAAGUGUUUGUGUGCAUUGCUGGUGAUCAUGAAUGGGAAGCCAGUCUGGCAAAAUACAUCAAAAUGGCAAAUUUCCCACAAUUUGAUCCAGCAAUUCCACUUUCAGGCAUAAAAUCCACAAAGAUGAACAGAAGAAAAAUAAGCCAACAAACCAACCCCUGACAUUUUCUAGUCUGGAAAGCAGAUGGGUAAAUGGCAACUGUGGGGCAGACUAAAGGUGAACACUAAGCCAGCAAUGGGGAAAAUUGAAAAAAAUCAACUCGUUUUACCCCAAAGAAGACUUGAAAAGUUCAGGACUUGGAGGUACCAGGUACCUCAGGUUGUGCAUGUGAAGCGACAGGGGCACCAAGCAGGCUGGGGAGGCUGUGUCAGAAACAGAAGCUGGGCAUGGCUAAAGCACAGAACAGCCCUGGGCUCUGUCUGCACAGAAUCCUGAGUAAAUGGUGGGCACUGCUGUAGCUCGCAUCCCUGGAUCUCUCUUUCCCAUCGUGGCAAAAGGCUGGGUUGAGGAUGGGAGACCAUACUGAGGAAGUCAAGAGAUUAAGUGAAGUCACACUGGGCACUAAGACACCAGCCUCUCUCCUGGGAUGCUUGCAAGAUGCUGGAUGUGCCCUCUUGGAAGACUCAGAGGAAAGACCCAAAGAUGUUCACAGCAAUGGGGUGCCCCCAAAUGGCCCAGCCACAUUGCCCUAUGGAUCCUUUAGUAGCGUCCAUUUAUACUCCACCCACCCGCUCACAUCCCCCAAGAAGUGGGUCUCCUUGACUAGUGACGCCCAACAUUCCUUCCAGCCCUGGUUUGUUGUCAUGGCUGAUAAGCUUCUCACCUACCUGCUCAGAGCCGCCAGAUCUGUGGUCCCUCUGAGACUACACUGGGAGAAAAAACUUAAAUUAUUGCAAUCCUCAGAGAAAUGAGGAAAGAUGUUAUGUUACAACUGUAAGAACAACAGGAAGUGGCUAUAAAAAUGAACAGCAAAUGGAAACACUCUUGGAAAUUAAAACUAUGCUAGGAAACACAAAAAUCUCAACAGAAAAUCUGGAAAAUAUAAUUAAGGAAAUUUUCUGGAAAAUAGAGCAGAAAGAAAAGGAUGGGAAAUCGGAGUGAAAUGAACAUUAGAGGACCUGCCUCAGAGGCCAAUAGGCAAGUAUCAGGCAUUCCAGAAACAAGAGAACAGAACAAUGGAGGGGAAGGAAAUCAAAGAAACAAUUCAAGCCAAUUUCCCACAACUGAGAUGUGAAUUUCAUCUCAUCAACAAUGGUGGUAAAAAAUGUUUGAGACUGAGUUAAUAAAAAGAAUUCCUCAUCCAGCCAAACUUCA
This is a long non-coding RNA of Equus caballus (horse), 1998 nucleotides long. RefSeq lists it as uncharacterized. The record is from RefSeq and is a predicted model, not a curated record. Lineage: Eukaryota; Metazoa; Chordata; Mammalia; Perissodactyla; Equidae.